This 99-nucleotide microRNA precursor is filed under the name Notamacropus eugenii (tammar wallaby). RNAcentral's name for it is "miRNA (ENSMEUG00000017560.1)". Lineage: Eukaryota; Metazoa; Chordata; Mammalia; Diprotodontia; Macropodidae. The record is from RNAcentral.
GACAUAUCUAUGCAUGUAUAAAUGUAUACACAUGUCUACAUAUAUGUAUGCACAUAUCAGUAUGUGUACAUAAAUAUAUACAUUAUGUGUGCUUAUAUG